This is a long non-coding RNA of Megalobrama amblycephala (Wuchang bream), 350 nucleotides long. RefSeq lists it as uncharacterized. Lineage: Eukaryota; Metazoa; Chordata; Actinopteri; Cypriniformes; Xenocyprididae. The record is from RefSeq and is a predicted model, not a curated record. The transcript is spliced from 3 exons.
UGAAGCUGUAGUGGUAGUUUCUGCUGUUGUACUUUCCGAAGUUGUAGGCAGCACUGUUGAAGUAAGAAGUGUUGUUUCUGUACUGACAACUGUGGUUGUGGGAGCUUGAGUUGUUGUGAGGUCAGGAGAUGUUGUGGGUUCAGCUGUAGUUGUGGUUGUAGGAGGUGCAGUUGAAGUUCCUGAAGUUGUAGAAAUUGUUGUUGAAAGAACAGUUGAGGUAUCUGGACUAACAUUUGUGGUUCUGACAGCUUCAGUACUUGUGGUUACAAGAGGCACUGUGGUCUGUGCUGUUGUACUUUGAGCUAGAGAGGACGUUGGAGCUAAUGUAGUAGUUGAAGGAUCAACUGGGG